This 432-nucleotide ribosomal RNA is filed under the name Triticum aestivum (bread wheat). RNAcentral describes it as "partial small subunit ribosomal RNA". Lineage: Eukaryota; Viridiplantae; Streptophyta; Magnoliopsida; Poales; Poaceae. The record is from RNAcentral.
AUGGCCACCUGCCUCUCUGAUAUCAUCAAUGACCAUUCCAUUGACUUCCUUAGGUUGCAAGAAACCUUGAAGAAGGAUUUUACUCUUAAACUUAUUAGAAAACUUGAUCCCUUCAAUUCUUUUCAUUGGGAAUGGAUUCCUGCUAUCGGGAAAUCGGGGGGCAUCCUCUGUGGUAUUCGCAUUAGCAACCUGGAGUUGCUACAAUGCACCAAAGGGGAUUAUAUCCUGCAAAUGCAUGUUAGAGACCUUAAGACCAAAAAUAUCUGGAGCUUCCUAGUGGUUUAUGGUUCUGCUCAUGAGGAGCACAAGGGAGAGUUCUUGAUGGAGCUGGCCUCCUUUUGCCACAACACUGACGUACCUUAUAUAGUUGGGGGCGACUUCAAUAUUUUGAGACAUGAUGGAGAGAAAAACAAAAAAAAUGCACAGAUCUAA